Molecule: long non-coding RNA, 515 nt
Filed under: Fukomys damarensis (Damara mole-rat)
Lineage: Eukaryota; Metazoa; Chordata; Mammalia; Rodentia; Bathyergidae
Description: lncRNA (ENSFDAG00000031608.1)
Source: RNAcentral
UAGGAAGCUAAACCCUUUGUUAUCUCUGGUUGCAGAAGAGAAUGCUGUGCAGGGAACGGAAAAUGGGAAGUUUCAGGCAGCUGUCUGAACAGAGAAAAUGCAUAAAAUCUCGUUUGGCCAGUUCCUUGAGAAAAAGUGUAACAUUGUGUGAGUACCUUGAAUUGGAUUUCAAUGAGUUAUUGAAUUAUAUGCCAUGCCUAAUGUAACCCACAUGGCCCCUGUGACCACUAGUCAUGAUUAAUUUGACUAGAAUAAGAAAUGCCUGGUGGAUUAUCUAUGCACACCUCAGGGUGUGUCUAAGUGGGCUGUGGAGAAGUGAUCUUGGGUCCUGUAUCUGGUCCCUGGUCUCUUCCUUUCUAGCGCUGUUCCCUUGCUUUGCUUCCUGGCUGUUGUGAACCAAGAAGCUUUUCUCUGAAUUCCAUCAUGAUGUUCUGCCUUGGAGCCAGCCAACCAUGGACUGAAUCCUAUGAAACACCAGCCACAGUAAACCUAAACUUCUCCUUGAAAUCUCCAGC